UACGUAGGGGGCAAGCGUUGUCCGGAUUUAUUGGGCGUAAAGAGCGUGUAGGCGGCCGUACAGGUCAGCUGUGAAAACUCGAGGCUCAACCUCGAGACGUCGGUUGAAACCGUACGGCUAGAGUCCGGAAGAGGAGAGUGGAAUUCCCGGUGUAGCGGUGAAAUGCGCAGAUAUCGGGAAGAACACCCGUGGCGAAAGCGGCUCACUGGACCACAACUGACGCUGAGGCGCGAAAGCUAGGGGAGCAAACAGG
This 253-nucleotide ribosomal RNA is filed under the name uncultured bacterium. Its description in RNAcentral is "partial 16S ribosomal RNA". It matches the Rfam family "Bacterial small subunit ribosomal RNA", at positions 524 to 776 of the family's 1533-position model. The record is from RNAcentral.